CAUAAGGAAUUACCAGCAACAAUGUACGGAAUGAAAAAAAUUGCGUAAUUUAUUCAGCUAAUACGCAGGUUUAAGAUAUCCCCAUCAUUUUAGAAAAUCGAAGGAAUUGAAAUGAAAAAACUGUUCAUAGGUCAAGGUACAUAACAGACACAUCACAUCAUGCAUAAGGUGAUUUGUAGAAGAAGCUAAUCUUGUAUAACGACAAUACAAAAUGCCCCUACUCUCCCUAAUUUCUUGCCAAUGUUUGGCUCAUGUUUAUAAGUACUCAAGUCAUUUUUAUCCAACAUUUGAUGAGACCCACAAACUCAUCCACCACUCAUUUGUAUC
Molecule: long non-coding RNA, 327 nt
Filed under: Olea europaea (common olive)
Lineage: Eukaryota; Viridiplantae; Streptophyta; Magnoliopsida; Lamiales; Oleaceae
Description: long non-coding RNA (OEUR_LNC006970)
Source: RNAcentral